RNAcentral lists this long non-coding RNA (384 nucleotides) under Jatropha curcas. RNAcentral describes it as "long non-coding RNA (JCUR_LNC000240)". The record is from RNAcentral. Lineage: Eukaryota; Viridiplantae; Streptophyta; Magnoliopsida; Malpighiales; Euphorbiaceae.
GAUAUCUCAAUUUAAUAAGAAAUAAAACAAUAAACAUAUAAGCACACAUAUCAUUAUACUUUCAUGAUUUUACCUGCUGUUCAUGAUGCUGUAUAAAUUUUGCAACUUUUAUUAACCAUCGUAUAUACUUUAUAAAUAAUAAAUCACAUAACUGCAUGGCUCCAUAAGGUUAUAGUGAAACCAAAGUGAUAAGAAAAACUGUAUGAACUGUAUAAAACUGGAUGAAUACUGUAUGGCUGGGCUGUUAUGGCCCGUAUAUAAAUCAUAUCCACUCAACAGCCUGUAGCUGGAGUACCAAACUGUAUGGGGCGCAGAUCUGCUAUCCUAUGUCGCGACAUAGUCUUAUCUACGUGGUUUCUGCCUAACCUUAAUGGAGCAUAUUAU